RNAcentral lists this transfer RNA (68 nucleotides) under Opilio parietinus. RNAcentral describes it as "tRNA-Gln". Lineage: Eukaryota; Metazoa; Arthropoda; Arachnida; Opiliones; Phalangiidae. The record is from RNAcentral.
UAAGUUUUAGUGUUAAUAGCACUUUAUUUUUUGAAGAUAAAAGAAAUGGGUUAGUUCAUUAAACUUAA